Dipodomys ordii (Ord's kangaroo rat) is the source of this 125-nucleotide small nucleolar RNA. Its record names the gene SNORA71. It matches the Rfam family "Small nucleolar RNA SNORA71". Rfam says of the family: The members of this family belong to the H/ACA class of snoRNAs which bind a number of proteins (including dyskerin, Gar1p and Nop10p) to form snoRNP complexes. This class of snoRNAs are thought to guide the sites of modification of uridines to pseudouridines by forming direct base pairing interactions with substrate RNAs. This family includes U71 (SNORA71), ACA39 (SNORA39) and ACA60 (SNORA60). Lineage: Eukaryota; Metazoa; Chordata; Mammalia; Rodentia; Heteromyidae. The record is from Ensembl.
CUCUGCAUUUAUAGGUGAUCUAGGGAUACCCAUGUCCUGGUCAUUUGUGCAGGCAAAGAAAAUGUGGAAGAAUUGUCCUGUGUUUGGAGGGUCCACGUCCUUCCAUUUUCAGGAGCUUUCCUUCA